This 73-nucleotide transfer RNA is filed under the name Paramuricea clavata. It matches the Rfam family "tRNA". Rfam says of the family: Transfer RNA (tRNA) molecules are approximately 80 nucleotides in length. Their secondary structure includes four short double-helical elements and three loops (D, anti-codon, and T loops). The record is from Rfam by way of RNAcentral. Lineage: Eukaryota; Metazoa; Cnidaria; Anthozoa; Malacalcyonacea; Plexauridae.
GACCACGUAGCUCAGUUGGAAGAGCAUUGGGCUAGUAUUCCAAAGGUCGUAGGUUCGAAUCCCACCGUGGCCG